UGGGAUUUUGGUACAUGGCA
Molecule: non-coding RNA, 20 nt
Filed under: Rattus norvegicus (Norway rat)
Lineage: Eukaryota; Metazoa; Chordata; Mammalia; Rodentia; Muridae
Source: RNAcentral